RNAcentral lists this transfer RNA (79 nucleotides) under Lentinula lateritia. RNAcentral describes it as "tRNA-Glu". It matches the Rfam family "tRNA". From Rfam's summary of the family: Transfer RNA (tRNA) molecules are approximately 80 nucleotides in length. Their secondary structure includes four short double-helical elements and three loops (D, anti-codon, and T loops). Further hydrogen bonds mediate the characteristic L-shaped molecular structure. tRNAs have two regions of fundamental functional importance: the anti-codon, which is responsible for specific mRNA codon recognition, and the 3' end, to which the tRNAs corresponding amino acid is attached (by aminoacyl-tRNA synthetases). tRNAs cope with the degeneracy of the genetic code in two manners: having more than one tRNA (with a specific anti-codon) for a particular amino acid; and 'wobble' base-pairing, i.e. permitting non-standard base-pairing at the 3rd anti-codon position. The record is from RNAcentral. Lineage: Eukaryota; Fungi; Basidiomycota; Agaricomycetes; Agaricales; Omphalotaceae.
UCCGAUAUGGUGUAGUGGCUAACAUUAUCGCCUCUCAUGUUUAACGCGAUAGCCCGGGGUUCGAUUCCCCGUGUCGGAA